This 253-nucleotide ribosomal RNA is filed under the name uncultured bacterium. Its description in RNAcentral is "partial 16S ribosomal RNA". It matches the Rfam family "Bacterial small subunit ribosomal RNA", at positions 524 to 776 of the family's 1533-position model. The record is from RNAcentral.
UACGUAGGGGGCAAGCGUUGUCCGGAUUUAUUGGGCGUAAAGAGCGUGUAGGCGGCCGUACAGGUCAGCUGUGAAAACUCGAGGCUCAACCUCGAGACGUCGGUUGAAACCGUACGGCUAGAGUCCGGAAGAGGAGAGUGGAAUUCCCGGUGUAGCGGUGAAAUGCGCAGAUAUCGGGAAGAACACCCGUGGCGAAGGCGGCUCUCUGGGACGGUACUGACGCUGAGACGCGAAAGCCAGGGGAGCGAACGGG